AGAGUUUGAUCCUGGCUCAGGACGAACACUGGCGGCACGCUUAACACAUGCAAGUCGAACGAGAGAAGAGGAGCUUGCUUUUCUGAUCUAGUGGCGGACGGGUGAGUAACACGUGAGCAAUCUGCCUUUCAGAGGGGGAUACCGAUUGGAAACGAUCGUUAAUACCGCAUAACAUAAUUGAACCGCAUGAUUUGAUUAUCAAAGAUUUAUCGCUGAAAGAUGAGCUCGCGUCUGAUUAGCUAGUUGGUAAGGUAACGGCUUACCAAGGCGACGAUCAGUAGCCGGACUGAGAGGUUGAUCGGCCACAUUGGGACUGAGACACGGCCCAGACUCCUACGGGAGGCAGCAGUGGGGAAUAUUGCACAAUGGAGGAAACUCUGAUGCAGCGAUGCCGCGUGAGGGAAGAAGGUUUUAGGAUUGUAAACCUCUGUCUUCAGGGACGAAAAAAGACGGUACCUGAGGAGGAAGCUCCGGCUAACUACGUGCCAGCAGCCGCGGUAAUACGUAGGGAGCGAGCGUUGUCCGGAAUUACUGGGUGUAAAGGGAGCGUAGGCGGGAUCGCAAGUCAGAUGUGAAAACUAUGGGCUUAACCCAUAAACUGCAUUUGAAACUGUGGUUCUUGAGUGAAGUAGAGGUAAGCGGAAUUCCUAGUGUAGCGGUGAAAUGCGUAGAUAUUAGGAGGAACAUCAGUGGCGAAGGCGGCUUACUGGGCUUUAACUGACGCUGAGGCUCGAAAGCGUGGGGAGCAAACAGGAUUAGAUACCCUGGUAGUCCACGCCGUAAACGAUGAUUACUAGGUGUGGGGGGACUGACCCCUUCCGUGCCGCAGCAAACGCAAUAAGUAAUCCACCUGGGGAGUACGACCGCAAGGUUGAAACUCAAAGGAAUUGACGGGGGCCCGCACAAGCAGUGGAGUAUGUGGAUUAAUUCGAAGCAACGCGAAGAACCUUACCAGGUCUUGACAUCGUAUGCAUAGCUCAGAGAUGAGUGAAAUCUCUUCGGAGACAUAUAGACAGGUGGUGCAUGGUUGUCGUCAGCUCGUGUCGUGAGAUGUUGGGUUAAGUCCCGCAACGAGCGCAACCCUUACUGUUAGUUGCUACGCAGGAGCACUCUAGCAGGACUGCCGUUGACAAAACGGAGGAAGGUGGGGAUGACGUCAAAUCAUCAUGCCCCUUAUGACCUGGGCCUCACACGUACUACAAUGGCUGUCAACAGAGGGAAGCAAAGCCGCGAGGUGGAGCGAACCCCUAAAAGCAGUCUUAGUUCGGAUUGUGGCUGCAACCCGCCUACAUGAAGUCGGAAUUGCUAGUAAUCGCAGAUCAGCAUGCUGCGGUGAAUACGUUCCCGGGCCUUGUACACACCGCCCGUCACGCCAUGGGAGUCGGUAACACCCGAAGCCUGUAGUCUAACCGCAAGGAGGACGCAGUCGAAGGUGGGAUUGAUGACUGGGGUGAAGUCGUAACAAGGUA
This 1469-nucleotide ribosomal RNA is filed under the name metagenome. RNAcentral's name for it is "bacterial SSU rRNA". It matches the Rfam family "Bacterial small subunit ribosomal RNA". The record is from RNAcentral.